Molecule: ribosomal RNA, 1969 nt
Filed under: Campylobacter jejuni
Lineage: Bacteria; Pseudomonadati; Campylobacterota; Epsilonproteobacteria; Campylobacterales; Campylobacteraceae
Description: partial 23S ribosomal RNA
Rfam family: Bacterial large subunit ribosomal RNA
Source: RNAcentral
UAAAAAAAGGUAAGCUACUAAGAGCGAAUGGUGGAUGCCUUGACUGGUAAAGGCGAUGAAGGACGUACUAGACUGCGAUAAGCUACGGGGAGCUGUCAAGAAGCUUUGAUCCGUAGAUUUCCGAAUGGGGCAACCCAAUGUAUAGAGAUAUACAUUACCUAUAUAGGAGCGAACGAGGGGAAUUGAAACAUCUUAGUACCCUCAGGAAAAGAAAUCAAUAGAGAUUGCGUCAGUAGCGGCGAGCGAAAGCGCAAGAGGGCAAACCCAGUGCUUGCACUGGGGGUUGUAGGACUGCAAUGUGCAAGAGCUGAGUUUAGCAGAACAUUCUGGAAAGUAUAGCCAUAGAGGGUGAUAGUCCCGUAUGCGAAAAACAAAGCUUAGCUAGCAGUAUCCUGAGUAGGGCGGGACACGAGGAAUCCUGUCUGAAUCCGGGUCGACCACGAUCCAACCCUAAAUACUAAUACCAGAUCGAUAGUGCACAAGUACCGUGAGGGAAAGGUGAAAAGAACUGAGGUGAUCAGAGUGAAAUAGAACCUGAAACCAUUUGCUUACAAUCAUUCAGAGCACUAUGUAGCAAUACAGUGUGAUGGACUGCCUUUUGCAUAAUGAGCCUGCGAGUUGUGGUGUCUGGCAAGGUUAAGCAAACGCGAAGCCGUAGCGAAAGCGAGUCUGAAUAGGGCGCUUAGUCAGAUGCUGCAGACCCGAAACGAAGUGAUCUAUCCAUGAGCAAGUUGAAGCUAGUGUAAGAACUAGUGGAGGACUGAACCCAUAGGCGUUGAAAAGCCCCGGGAUGACUUGUGGAUAGGGGUGAAAGGCCAAUCAAACUUCGUGAUAGCUGGUUCUCUCCGAAAUAUAUUUAGGUAUAGCGUUGUGUCGUAAUAUAAGGGGGUAGAGCACUGAAUGGGCUAGGGCAUACACCAAUGUACCAAACCCUAUCAAACUCCGAAUACCUUAUAUGUAAUCACAGCAGUCAGGCGGCGAGUGAUAAAAUCCGUCGUCAAGAGGGAAACAACCCAGACUACCAGCUAAGGUCCCUAAAUCUUACUUAAGUGGAAAACGAUGUGAAGUUACUUAAACAACCAGGAGGUUGGCUUAGAAGCAGCCAUCCUUUAAAGAAAGCGUAAUAGCUCACUGGUCUAGUGAUUUUGCGCGGAAAAUAUAACGGGGCUAAAGUAAGUACCGAAGCUGUAGACUUGCACACAACUUAGAUUAUUUAAGUUUAGAAUAUGAGAAACUAAGUUAUAUGUUUAGUUAUAUUUUUACUGAUUUUUAUAGAGUAAAGAUAGAAAUAAAACUUAGUAAAAUCAGUAAAAAUAUUCUUAGGCUAAAGUUAAGUAGUUUAAGUUGUGUGCAAGUGGUAGGAGAGCGUUCUAUUUGCGUCGAAGGUAUACCGGUAAGGAGUGCUGGAGCGAAUAGAAGUGAGCAUGCAGGCAUGAGUAGCGAUAAUUAAUGUGAGAAUCAUUAACGCCGUAAACCCAAGGUUUCCUACGCGAUGCUCGUCAUCGUAGGGUUAGUCGGGUCCUAAGUCGAGUCCGAAAGGGGUAGACGAUGGCAAAUUGGUUAAUAUUCCAAUACCAACAUUAGUGUGCGAUGGAAGGACGCUUAGGGCUAAGGGGGCUAGCGGAUGGAAGUGCUAGUCUAAGGUUGUAGGAGGUUAUACAGGCAAAUCCGUAUAACAAUACUCCGAGAACUGAAAGGCUUUUUGAAGUCUUCGGAUGGAUAGAAGAACCCCUGAUGCCGUCGAGCCAAGAAAAGUUUCUAAGUUUAGCUAAUGUUGCCCGUACCGUAAACCGACACAGGUGGGUGGGAUGAGUAUUCUAAGGCGCGUGGAAGAACUCUCUUUAAGGAACUCUGCAAAAUAGCACCGUAUCUUCGGUAUAAGGUGUGGUUAGCUUCGUACUAGGAUUUACUCCGAAAGCGAAGAAACUUACAACAAAGAGUCCCUCCCGACUGUUUACCAAAAACACAG